AAUAGAUACCCCGGUAGUCCACCCCGUAAACGUUGGGAACUAGUUGUGGGGUCCUUUCCACGGAUUCCGUGACGCAGCUAACGCAUUAAGUUCCCCGCCUGGGGAGUACGGCCGCAAGGCUAAAACUCAAAGGAAUUGACGGGGACCCGCACAAGCGGCGGAGCAUGCGGAUUAAUUCGAUGCAACGCGAAGAACCUUACCAAGGCUUGACAUACACCGGAAACGGCCAGAGAUGGUCGCCCCGCAAGGUCGGUGUACAGGUGGUGCAUGGUUGUCGUCAGCUCGUGUCGUGAGAUGUUGGGUUAAGUCCCGCAACGAGCGCAACCCUCGUUCUAUGUUGCCAGCACGUCAUGGUGGGAACUCAUGGGAUACUGCCGGGGUCAACUCGGAGGAAGGUGGGGAUGACGUCAAAUCAUCAUGCCCCUUAUGUCUUGGGCUUCACGCAUGCUACAAUGGCCGGUACAAAGGGCUGCAAUACCGUGAGGUGGAGCGAAUCCCAAAAAGCCGGUCCCAGUUCGGAUUGAGGUCUGCAACUCGACCUCA
RNAcentral lists this ribosomal RNA (543 nucleotides) under uncultured bacterium. RNAcentral's name for it is "bacterial SSU rRNA". It matches the Rfam family "Bacterial small subunit ribosomal RNA", at positions 777 to 1320 of the family's 1533-position model. The record is from RNAcentral.